CAGUCCCUGGUGCCAAAAAGGUUGGGGACUGCUGAAGAGCACCGGAAACCAGGAGGAGGCACAGGGUUCUCCCCUGAGAGCCAGGCCAGCUCUUGGUGUUUCUUCGCUGCAGGUGCCAUUUGGCAUUGAGGAUUGUUUUUCUCUUCCUCUGGGAAAGUAAGAGGGAGAGGACACAGUCUGAGUGGU
RNAcentral lists this small nucleolar RNA (186 nucleotides) under Pongo abelii (Sumatran orangutan). RNAcentral describes it as "Small nucleolar RNA U3 (ENSPPYG00000028431.2)". It matches the Rfam family "Small nucleolar RNA U3", at positions 29 to 219 of the family's 219-position model. Rfam says of the family: Small nucleolar RNAs (snoRNAs) are involved in the processing and modification of rRNA in the nucleolus. There are two main classes of snoRNAs: the box C/D class, and the box H/ACA class. U3 snoRNA is a member of the box C/D class. The record is from Rfam by way of RNAcentral. Lineage: Eukaryota; Metazoa; Chordata; Mammalia; Primates; Hominidae.